UGAACAAGCUCACAGUACUGUCAAAGUUGCUGCAACUAAGACAGGCAUGCAUCUUUAAUGUUCACCAGCAGUUGCACACUUCCUUGACUAACUUGCAGACACUUAAAGACAGAUUUUGGUGAUGAUGCUGUUGCAGAAAUAAUUGACCUAUUCAGACCUCAACUUGAGGCACAGUCUGUGGAUGUAGGAGCUGCAGAAGAAGAAUUGACAUUCCUUAAACAAGCUUUGUAUGAGAGCCAUGAUGUUCACAAGAU
Molecule: long non-coding RNA, 254 nt
Organism: Haliotis rufescens (red abalone)
Lineage: Eukaryota; Metazoa; Mollusca; Gastropoda; Lepetellida; Haliotidae
Exons: 3
Source: RefSeq, a predicted model, not a curated record